RNAcentral lists this long non-coding RNA (871 nucleotides) under Equus caballus (horse). RNAcentral describes it as "lncRNA (ENSECAG00000042135.2)". Lineage: Eukaryota; Metazoa; Chordata; Mammalia; Perissodactyla; Equidae. The record is from RNAcentral.
CAAGGCUUAGAACUCUGUAGAUGCUGUCAUUCUGUCAAGACAAACUCCAGCUUCCUCUAUGGAAUUAUGUUCAAAUGAGAGAGAGUGUCAUUGGAAGUCUUCUAUCCAUUCAUCCUCUUGCUAGGGUACGAGAUCUGUCCUGCAUUCCUGUAUGCCUCUGGAGAUGGCCUUAUGAGAGAAAGCAGGAAAUAAUUCCAGAUGUCCUUGGCCUCUGCACCCCUGUGGAAUCCAGUUCAUCUCCAAUCCGUCAGAAAGCAUCAGAGGUGGUUUUGAUUCCUUAUGUCCUGAGCCUGUGCACAAAAUGUGUGAGUGAUAAAUGCAAUGGUCAAAACGAUUUCACUAAAGGGAAGACAGGAGAUCGUGCAGAGGGUCAUACAUUGGAUGUGCAACAGUGGAUCAUGAGGCCAAGGUGCUUGGGUAAUACCUUGUGUGAAGGAAAAUGAGAUCCCGAGUGAAGUCUACAAUGUCAUUGACUCUGAAGAAGGACUCAGAGACCCAUUGGUGUUUAAUGACCCUUACUGGCCUAUGCAAUGGGAACUGAUUCUGAGUGUGCCUUGACAUCAGUAGCAGAGGAUGUGAGCAAAGCAACUUUCAGAGCAUCAGAUGUGAGCAAAGCAACUUCCAGAGCAUCAGAUGUGAGCAAAGCAACUUUCAGAGCAUCAGAAGUGUCAGCAGAAGGAAAAUCAGCACAAGUAGAAAGUAUCAAGGUAAUUUUCCCAAUUAUAGUAUUCCAUGAAGUCAGUCAUUGCCACUCUUGGCUGCUGGAGCCUCCUUCUCUGUUGUUAAAUGCCAUAUAAACUAUCUGUCAGCCUCCAAGGCUGAUCAGUUCUCUUGUACAGAGAGAAAUACAAAGGUAAAAACAAAUUCAGCA